UUUAUGGAGAGUUUGAUCCUGGCUCAGGAUGAACGCUGGCGGCGUGCCUAAUACAUGCAAGUCGAGCGAACAGAUAAGGAGCUUGCUCCUUUGACGUUAGCGGCGGACGGGUGAGUAACACGUGGGUAACCUACCUAUAAGACUGGGAUAACUUCGGGAAACCGGAGCUAAUACCGGAUAAUAUUUCGAACCGCAUGGUUCGAUAGUGAAAGAUGGUUUUGCUAUCACUUAUAGAUGGACCCGCGCCGUAUUAGCUAGUUGGUAAGGUAACGGCUUACCAAGGCGACGAUACGUAGCCGACCUGAGAGGGUGAUCGG
RNAcentral lists this ribosomal RNA (317 nucleotides) under Campylobacter jejuni. RNAcentral describes it as "bacterial SSU rRNA". It matches the Rfam family "Bacterial small subunit ribosomal RNA", at positions 1 to 307 of the family's 1533-position model. The record is from RNAcentral. Lineage: Bacteria; Pseudomonadati; Campylobacterota; Epsilonproteobacteria; Campylobacterales; Campylobacteraceae.